RNAcentral lists this ribosomal RNA (421 nucleotides) under uncultured bacterium. Its description in RNAcentral is "bacterial SSU rRNA". It matches the Rfam family "Bacterial small subunit ribosomal RNA", at positions 356 to 774 of the family's 1533-position model. The record is from RNAcentral.
GAGGAAUAUUGGGCAAUGCCCGCAAGGGUGACCCAGCAACGCCGCGUGGAGGAUGAAUGUCGUAAGAUUGUAAACUCCCGUUAGAGGGGAAGAAUAGUACCGGUUGGACCGGUAUAUGACUGUACCCUCAGAGAAAGCCCCGGCUAACUACGUGCCAGCAGCCGCGGUAAUACGUAGGGGGCAAGCGUUGUCCGGAUUUACUGGGUGUAAAGGGCGCGCAGGCGGGAUAAAAAGUCAGUGGUGAAAUCCUACAGCUUAACUGUAGAACUGCCUUUGAUACUUUUAUUCUUGAGUUCGGGAGAGAGAGACGGAAUUCCAGGUGUAGUGGUGAAAUACGUAGAUAUCUGGAAGAACACCAGUUGCGAAGGCGGUCUCUUGGUCCGACACUGACGCUGAGGCGCGAAAGCGUGGGGAGCAAACA